Molecule: non-coding RNA, 954 nt
Filed under: Pristurus rupestris rupestris
Lineage: Eukaryota; Metazoa; Chordata; Lepidosauria; Squamata; Sphaerodactylidae
Description: 12S ribosomal RNA
Rfam family: Bacterial small subunit ribosomal RNA
Source: RNAcentral
AAGCUGUUUUGGUCCUGAACUCACCAUUAUCUAUAACUGAAAUUACACAUGCAAGCCUCCCCAACCCAGUGCACUAGCCCCACCACUAUAAAACUAGCCUCGGAGCUGACAUCAGGCACGCCACCACGGCAGCCCAAAACGCCUCGCUACCGCCACACCCACACGGGACCCAGCAGUGAUAAACAUUAAGCCAUGCGCCAAACGCGACUUAGUCACAGUUAAUUGACCCAAGCCGGUAAAUUUCGUGCCAGCCACCGCGGUUAUACGAAAGGCUACAGAUAAUGCCCCCCGGCGUAAAUAGUGCCUAGAAACCACGGACAUAUCAACUAGACCUGGAAUCCGGAUCGCGUUGUGAAAUACAUCCCUCCGCCAGCACACCACCAGCUCUAAAAUACUGCCACCUUUGACGCCACGAAACCUUUGACACAAACUAGGAUUAGAGACCCUACUAUGCUUAGAUGUAACCCAACCCAUAGAUUGCCACACCACUUGCAAUCCGCCAGAGGACUACAAGUGAAAACUUUAAACUCUAAGGACUUGACGGUGUCCCACCCAUACUAGAGGAGCCUGUCCUAUAAUCGACACCCCACGCUAUACCUUACCCCCCCUAGCCAACCAACCUAUAUACCGCCGUCGCCAGCUCACACUGUGAAUGCACCACCGUAAGCACAAUCAUCACCCAUUAAAACGACAGGUCAAGGUGUAGUUAAUGGGGGGGCAGCGAUGGGCUACAUUUUCUUCACUAGAAAAUACCACCCGCACCAUGAAACCUUUGCCCACAGGUGGAUUUAGAAGUAAGCCCUGACAAGACAUGUCAACCUGAAAUACGCCCUGGGACGAGUACACACCGCCCGUCGCCCUCCUCACGGCCUAAAACAAAUAACUAAUACGCACAUUCGCACCUAGAGAUGAGGUAAGUCGUAACAUGGUAAGUGUACUGGAAAGUGCACUUAG